Odocoileus virginianus texanus is the source of this 550-nucleotide long non-coding RNA. RefSeq lists it as uncharacterized. Lineage: Eukaryota; Metazoa; Chordata; Mammalia; Artiodactyla; Cervidae. The record is from RefSeq and is a predicted model, not a curated record.
UUCUGUUGUGUGCACAGAAUAUAUCUGAAGGAAAAGACAGGAAACUAGUAAAAUUGGUAGGGGGUAGAGGAGAGAGAUUUUUCACCAUAUGUUCCUUUGUAUACUAUUUGAAUUUCUUUUAUCAGAGGUAUGUAGGUAUUAAAUAUUCCAAAAUUUUAAAAGUUAUUUACAAAGCAUUUACUAUGUUGGGUGUUUUACAUCCUCAAAGCAGCGCCAUAAGCAGUGGAUCUUCAGGGUUCUAAAGAAAACACCCAAAGAACUCCGAAUGUCAAGCCAGGAGGACUUCUGAAGAACCUCUAGAUUCUGUCUCAGCAGAGAAGGAAGCGGUGGUCCAAGAGAGGGGAGAAACUACAGUAAACGCUCUUGCUCACGUUCUCUCUUCCCUUCUGCCUCCUGACUGACCCCAGUGCUUGCUGGUGUGACCCUGCAUGGAGCAUGCAGUUGGUCAUGAUGCCAACAGGGACCAGGCGACAGAGGUAGUGAGGGACUGUCAUUUCUAUCUUGGGGAAUGGGAGUCAACAAGAGGCCCUCACUCAAUGGAGAAAGGGGG